This 1385-nucleotide ribosomal RNA is filed under the name uncultured bacterium. Its description in RNAcentral is "16S ribosomal RNA". It matches the Rfam family "Bacterial small subunit ribosomal RNA", at positions 31 to 1399 of the family's 1533-position model. The record is from RNAcentral.
GAACGCUGGCGGUAUGCUUAACACAUGCAAGUCGAACGGAAACGAUACUAGCUUGCUAGUAGGCGUCGAGUGGCGGACGGGUGAGUAACGCGUAGGAAUCUGCCUGAUAGUGGGGGAUAGCCCGAAGAAAUUCGGAUUAAUACCGCAUAAUCUAUUCGUAGUAAAGUGGGGGACUUUCGAGCCUCACGCUAUCAGAUGAGCCUGCGUAAGAUUAGCUUGUUGGUAGGGUAAAAGCCUACCAAGGCGACGAUCUUUAGCUGGUCUGAGAGGAUGAUCAGCCACAUCGGGACUGAGACACGGCCCGAACUCCUACGGGAGGCAGCAGUGGGGAAUAUUGGACAAUGGGGGCAACCCUGAUCCAGCAAUACCGCGUGUGUGAAGAAGGCCUGGGGGUUGUAAAGCACUUUCAAUUGUGAAGAAAAGUUAGCGGUUAAUAACCGUUAGCCUUGACGUUAACUUUAGAAGAAGCACCGGCUAACUCCGUGCCAGCAGCCGCGGUAAUACGGAGGGUGCAAGCGUUAAUCGGAAUUACUGGGGCGUAAAGCGUGCGUAGGCGGUUUAUUAAGUCAGAUGUGAAAAGCCCCGGGGCUUAACCUGGGAACUGCAUUUGAAAACUGGGUCAACUAGAGUAUGGGUAGAGGAAAAGUGGAAUUUCUGGGUGUAGCGGUGAAAUGCGUAGAUAUCAGAAGGAACAUCAAUGGCGAAGGCAGCUUUCUGGACCAAUACUGACGCUGAGGUACGAAAGCGUGGGUAGCAAACAGGAUUAGAUACCCUGGUAGUCCACGCCGUAAACGAUGAUAACUAGCCGUUGGGGGGAUUUACCCUUUAGUGGCGAAGCUAACGCGUUAAGUUAUCCGCCUGGGGAGUACGGCCGCAAGGUUAAAACUCAAAGGAAUUGACGGGGACCCGCACAAGCGGUGGAGCAUGUGGUUUAAUUCGAUGCAACGCGAAGAACCUUACCUGGUCUUGACAUCCUGCGAACUUUCUAGAAAUAGAUUGGUGCCUUCGGGAACGCAGUGACAGGUGCUGCAUGGCUGUCGUCAGCUCGUGUCGUGAGAUGUUGGGUUAAGUCCCGUAACGAGCGCAACCCCUAUCCUUAUUUGCCAGCACAUCAUGGUGGGAACUAUAAGGAGACUGCCGGUGAUAAACCGGAGGAAGGCGGGGACGACGUCAAGUCAUCAUGGCCCUUACGACCAGGGCUACACACGUGCUACAAUGGGAAGGACAAAGAGCCGCGAAGCCGCGAGGUGUAGCUAAUCUCAUAAACCUUUUCGUAGUCCGGAUUGGAGUCUGCAACUCGACUCCAUGAAGUCGGAAUCGCUAGUAAUCGUAGAUCAGAAUGCUACGGUGAAUACGUUCCCGGGUCUUGUACUCACCGCCCGUCA